Pecten maximus is the source of this 2131-nucleotide long non-coding RNA. RefSeq lists it as uncharacterized. The record is from RefSeq and is a predicted model, not a curated record. Lineage: Eukaryota; Metazoa; Mollusca; Bivalvia; Pectinida; Pectinidae. The transcript has 3 exons.
UUCAAAACUUCCUGGUUUACGUGAUCAGGAAAUCGGGUAAAAGGAACAAGAUGUUGCCCGGUAGAAGAUUUUGGCCAUCGUCAGUUCUGAUAUGUAUGACGACCCUGUACCUUUACUUUGGAAUAUGUAAAACUGUGGUCCUGCCAUGUUUUGAGUGCGCCUGCAAUAAUUCCACUCACUACUACAAUGGAACUGAUUGUAUCACCAAGAUCAAAUCAGGGGAAGGACCAUGCUACAACGUGCUCAACGAAUGUACAACAAGCGCGGUGUGCACGGGCAUUGGUGGUAUAUGCAACUGUACUGAAGGUUACUAUGACAAUGGAACUGGGUGUGCAGCUAGUAAGUUUUUCUUUUGUGAACUAUGUUAUCAAUUGAGACAUAUUUCAUGCUUGCUAUUCAUAAAUUAAAUGAAUACUUAUUCAAAACGCAUGAUAACUUACUACAUAUUGGUUAUAUUUUGUUCUUGUACUCAGAGUAUGCUGUUUAGCUGUACAGGCUUCAUAUCAUUUGCUUUGUUUUUUAGGCAAGGAUUAUGUCUUAAAGAUAUCCCGGCCUAAUAUAGCAGUCUCUUGUGGGGACAAGUAGUUUAUGCAUGUCAGUAGAAAGCUUCACGAACUCUUAGGAUAGAAUAACGCUUUGAGGUAGUGUUAUAAUAAUAGUGUUAGAAUCCAUAUCACUUCUCAACCAGAUAUCAACAUACAAUAUGAAAUGGAUUCAUUUCUACCUUAGGACCAUUGAUAUCAACUUAUAGGGCUUGUGUCAAAUGUAUCAGCAAGGUAGCUUUUAUAAAUAUAUUUCAAAAGUUUCAUAUUCAAUGCUAUUUGAAUAUAUUUGUUACUACUCAAUAUAACUUAGUGCAUUAUCCAUUUACAUUUGAACUGUGACGAUACUUGUUAGUUAUUUUUCAGAUUAGCUUACAUAGUAUGUACAGAUCAUUCAGAUGUAGUGCAGAACAUCCAGAUGACAGGCAAACGUCGUAAUGACGUUAUGUAUGACUGUAUUUACCUACCAGAUCGUGCAUGCGCAUAUACAGUCUGUAGCAUGCAUGUUCAUGGGUUUUUACAAUAUAUAGCCAAUCCUUUUAUGUGCGUGUAAAAAAACAACAACAAAAAAACAAAAACAAAAACAAAAAAACCCCAAUGACAUCCAAUCCCUAGAGUGCAUGCAUAGUCUCUCGUCAAUCCCUAUUAUUGCUAUAAAAAGAAAAGAAAAAAAGACUCCCAUUAUGUUCAGGUGAAGUAUCUGUAAAUAUGUUGCUUAUCAAUAUCGAUUUAUAAUGACGUUACACAGUAAAUAUUAUUUCUCUAUCAUCAUAUUAUCCUUGUUGUUGUAUUUAUGUAGUUAUAUUUGUUUUUGACAUCUUGUUAGACAGGAUUUGGAAGAUUUUAUAUUGAUGUCUCAUAAAUGUAACAUAUUCCUCGGGUUAUUUCAGUCAAGUAUUACUGCUGAUAUUAUCUAAAAUAUUGAUUUUAUGUUAAAAUUUGUAAUGUGUGUCUAUGUUGAAGAAAUGAUAAUCACUGAUAUGUGCAGCUCUUCUUAUGGCGUAUGGUUUGCAUUAUUCUAAUGACAACGUAAGCUGAAAGCGUGUGAAAAACUUUGACAAAAACAUUAAAGGUAGGUAUGGACAACGCAAGGAAAUUACUAUUUCAAAUAAUUCAAAGGUGAGUAAAGAAGGUAGACCGAAAUCACCUUAGUAUGUUUCAACUAGAACCGGUGAGUUCCAUUUGUAAAUUCAUGAUAAAUAUAUCCACUUGCAAUAUAUCCUACUCACUCACCUAAUCAGAACAUGCAAUUUAGUUACAGAUAUUGAAUAUUAAUGCAUUAAACAAUAUAAUCCACUUGUUUCAUAGCUUACUUGCAUAACUAAUCAAAACAUGCUUAUAUUUUUCUGUGCGCUCAUUGGAGUGUUGCCGACUAAAACAUCAAAGAUUCACUACUAUUAUUCUGUAAAUAGAAAUAAUGCUUGCAGAUCUAGCCUACAAAAUCAGGUACGUACUUUUUGCUUCAAACAAUAACAGUGACCACCCCAGUCAAUCAAAGUAGGUACGUAUAUUGGGGUGUAACGGAAUAAUGCUUCAAUUCAAAUCAUUCGUUUCAUAAAGCUUUAUUACUGCAUUAACCAACGAUUGCG